This 500-nucleotide ribosomal RNA is filed under the name uncultured bacterium. RNAcentral's name for it is "partial 16S ribosomal RNA". It matches the Rfam family "Bacterial small subunit ribosomal RNA", at positions 30 to 523 of the family's 1533-position model. The record is from RNAcentral.
AUUGAACGCUGGCGGAAUGCUUUACACAUGCAAGUCGAACGGCAGCACGGGGGCAACCCUGGUGGCGAGUGGCGAACGGGUGAGUAAUAUAUCGGAACGUGCCCAGUCGUGGGGGAUAACGUAGCGAAAGUUACGCUAAUACCGCAUACGAUCUACGGAUGAAAGCGGGGGUUCGCAAGACCUCGCGCGAUUGGAGCGGCCGGUAUCAGAUUAGGUAGUUGGUGAGGUAAAGGCGCACCAAGGCAACGAUCUGUAGCUGGUCUGAGAGGACGACCAGCCACACUGGGACUGAGACGCGGCCCAGACUCCUACGGGAGGCAGCAGUGGGGAAUUUUGGACAAUGGGCGCAAGCCUGAUCCAGCCAUUCCGCGUGCAGGACGAAGGCCUUCGGGUUGUAAACUGCUUUUGUACGGAACGAAAAAGCCUUGGCUAAUACCCAGGGUCCAUGACGGUACCGUAAGAAUAAGCACCGGCUAACUACGUGCCAGCCGCCGCAGUAA